GCGUGGGAGGAGCUAAAUGCCACAGAGGGUGCGCAGACGGGUCACGUGACUGUGCAGAUAACACUGCCGGUGCACGCGCGCUACCAGCGGGCCGACGAGACGGAGCGGGUGGCGGCCGUCUACAUUGACCCGCCCCGGGUGUACCUGGGUUGCGACUGGGACAGCGUGGACGGAUGUAGCUGCGCUAUGACGUCACUGCCGUGCCGGGCGGUGGGUGGAACCGCCUGCAGCUACGAACCCAUCCAGCUGGAUCACGGCCCGACGGCGGUGCUGCCCGUGCCGCUGGGGGACCUGCGAGACCUGGAGCUGGUGCUAGUGGGCACGACAGUGGCCGUCACCGCUAGCUGUCUGCUCCUGCUCAUGGUGGUCUUCAACAAGCAGCUGCAGCCGCCGUGACCGCACGCGGUGAGGCAGCUUCUCCUCCCGCACAUGGCAGUCAACAAGCAGCUGCAGCUGCUGCAGCUGCUGCCAUGGCAGGGGAGCCUCGAGGAGUCGCGCUGGCUCCCGUGUUUCAGCGAGGAAGCGGCUAUGUCAUGCGCAACGGCCGAGCCCUGGCGGAGUCCUGUCCUGGCGAAGGCACUGGCGGACGUGUGUUGCCAGCGGCCCGGCGUGUUACUGGCGGCGGCUCGCGCGAGCUCGAGGGGGGAGGGGGUCGCUCCGGUUCGCCUCAGCCACCGCACGGCUGGGACAGGGCGGUCGGUCGUAGCGCAGGCAGCGGCGGUCUCGGAGGCGCGCUCUCGUGGGUCAGCUGCGGGCGCCGUGGCCGCGGACAGUCCUUACAA
Long non-coding RNA from Pollicipes pollicipes, 782 nucleotides. RefSeq lists it as uncharacterized. The transcript is spliced from 4 exons. The record is from RefSeq and is a predicted model, not a curated record. Lineage: Eukaryota; Metazoa; Arthropoda; Thecostraca; Pollicipedomorpha; Pollicipedidae.